This 257-nucleotide ribosomal RNA is filed under the name uncultured bacterium. RNAcentral describes it as "partial 16S ribosomal RNA". It matches the Rfam family "Bacterial small subunit ribosomal RNA", at positions 524 to 777 of the family's 1533-position model. The record is from RNAcentral.
UACGAAGGGGGCUAGCGUUGCUCGGAAUCACUGGGCGUAAAGGGUGCGUAGGCGGGUCUUUAAGUCAGGGGUGAAAUCCUGGAGCUCAACUCCAGAACUGCCUUUGAUACUGAGGAUCUUGAGUUCGGGAGAGGUGAGUGGAACUGCGAGUGUAGAGGUGAAAUUCGUAGAUAUUCGCAAGAACACCAGUGGCGAAGGCGGCUCACUGGCCCGAUACUGACGCUGAGGCACGGAAAGCGAUGGGGAGCCAAACAGGG